GACGAACGCUGGCGGCGUGCUUAACACAUGCAAGUCGAACGGAAAGGCCCUGCUUUUGUGGGGUGCUCGAGUGGCGAACGGGUGAGUAACACGUGAGUAACCUGCCCUUGACUUUGGGAUAACUUCAGGAAACUGGGGCUAAUACCGGAUAUGAGCUCCUUCUGCAUGGUGGUGGUUGGAAAGUUUCGGCGGUUGGGGAUGGACUCGCGGCUUAUCAGCUUGUUGGUGGGGUAGUGGCUUACCAAGGCUUUGACGGGUAGCCGGCCUGAGAGGGUGACCGGCCACAUUGGGACUGAGAUACGGCCCAGACUCAUACGGGAGGCAGCAGUGGGGAAUAUUGCACAAUGGGCGGAAGCCUGAUGCAGCAACGCCGCGUGCGGGAUGACGGCCUGCGGGUUGUAAACCGCUUUCGCCUGUGACGAAGCGUGAGUGACGGUAAUGGGUAAAGAAGCACCGGCUAACUACGUG
This 468-nucleotide ribosomal RNA is filed under the name uncultured bacterium. RNAcentral's name for it is "partial 16S ribosomal RNA". It matches the Rfam family "Bacterial small subunit ribosomal RNA", at positions 28 to 507 of the family's 1533-position model. The record is from RNAcentral.